ACACAAGCAGUUGUACUAACAUCAAACAGA
Molecule: unclassified non-coding RNA, 30 nt
Filed under: Bodo saltans
Lineage: Eukaryota; Euglenozoa; Kinetoplastea; Eubodonida; Bodonidae
Description: partial miscellaneous RNA
Source: RNAcentral